GUGGGGAAUAUUCCGCAAUGGACGAAAGUCUGACGGAGCAACGCCGCGUGAACGAUGACGGCCUUCGGGUUGUAAGGUUCUGUUAUACGGGACGAAUGGUACGACGGCCAAUACCCGUCGUAAGUGACGGUACCGUAAGAGAAAGCCACGGCUAACUACGUGCCAGCAGCCGCGGUAAUACGUAGGUGGCAAGCGUUGUCCGGAAUUAUUGGGCGUAAAGGGCGCGCAGGCGGCGUCGUAAGUCGGUCUUAAAAGUGCGGGGCUUAACCCCGUGAGGGGACCGAAACUGCGAUGCUAGAGUAUCGGAGAGGAAAGCGGAAUUCCUAGUGUAGCGGUGAAAUGCGUAGAUAUUAGGAGGAACACCAGUGGCGAAAGCGGCUUUCUGGACGACAACUGACGCUGAGGCGCGAAAGCCAGGGGAGCAAACGGGAUUAGAAACCCCGGUAGUCC
This 450-nucleotide ribosomal RNA is filed under the name uncultured bacterium. RNAcentral describes it as "partial 16S ribosomal RNA". It matches the Rfam family "Bacterial small subunit ribosomal RNA", at positions 354 to 796 of the family's 1533-position model. The record is from RNAcentral.